GACGAACGCUGGCGGCGUGCUUAACACAUGCAAGUCGAACGGAAAGGCCCUGCUUUUGUGGGGUGCUCGAGUGGCGAACGGGUGAGUAACACGUGAGUAACCUGCCCUUGACUUUGGGAUAACUUCAGGAAAAUGGGGCUAAUACCCGGUAGGAGCUCCUGCUGCAUGGUGGGGGUUGGAAAGUUUCGGCGGUUGGGGAUGGUUUGGCGGGUUCUCAGCUGGUUGGUGGGGUAGUUGCUUACCAAGGGUUUGACGGGUAGCCGGCGUGGGAGGUUGACCGGCCACAUUGGGACUGCGAUACGGACCAGACUCCUACGGGAGGCAGCAGUGGGGAAUAUUGCACAAUGGGCGGAAGCCUGAUGCAGCAACGCCGCGUGCGGGAUGCCGUCCUUCGGGGUGUAAACCGCUUUCGCAUGUGACGUAGCGUGAGUGACGGUAAUGGGUAAAGAAGCACCGGCUAACUACGUG
This 468-nucleotide ribosomal RNA is filed under the name uncultured bacterium. RNAcentral describes it as "partial 16S ribosomal RNA". It matches the Rfam family "Bacterial small subunit ribosomal RNA", at positions 28 to 507 of the family's 1533-position model. The record is from RNAcentral.